GAUGAACGCUAGCGGCAGGCUUAAUACAUGCAAGUCGUGGGGCAGCACAGUAUAGCAAUAUAUGGGUGGCGACCGGCAAACGGGUGCGGAACACGUACGCAACCUUCCUACAGGCGGGGAAUAGCCCAGAGAAAUUUGGAUUAAUACCCCAUAAAAUUUUGAGGUGGCAUCAUCUUAUUAUUAAAGAUUUAUCACCUGAAGAUGGGCGUGCGGCUGAUUAGGUAGUGGCGGGGUAACGGCCCACCAAGCCUACGAUCAGUAGCUGAUGUGAGAGCAUGAUCAGCCACACGGGCACUGAGACACGGGCCCACUCCUACGGGAGGCAGGCAGUAAGGAAUAUUGGUCAAUGGACGCAAGUCUGAACCAGCCAUGCCGCGUGGAGGAUGAA
Molecule: ribosomal RNA, 388 nt
Filed under: uncultured bacterium
Lineage: Bacteria
Description: bacterial SSU rRNA
Rfam family: Bacterial small subunit ribosomal RNA
Source: RNAcentral